Non-coding RNA from Triticum aestivum (bread wheat), 135 nucleotides. NCBI's taxonomy places the organism in Eukaryota, Viridiplantae, Streptophyta, Magnoliopsida, Poales, Poaceae. The record is from Rfam.
CAACUACUGCCUCUGUCCCAAAUUUCUUGUCUUAGAUUUGUCUAGAUACAGAUGUAUCUAAUACUAAAAUGUGACUUGAUACAUCCGUAUCUAGACAAGUCUAAGACAAGAAUUUUGGGACGGAGGGAGUACUUU